Molecule: ribosomal RNA, 5620 nt
Filed under: Sphaerospora sparis
Lineage: Eukaryota; Metazoa; Cnidaria; Myxozoa; Bivalvulida; Sphaerosporidae
Description: partial 28S ribosomal RNA
Rfam family: Eukaryotic large subunit ribosomal RNA (bases 1373-5620)
Source: RNAcentral
ACCCGCUGAACUUAAGCAUAUCAGUAAGCGGAGGAAAAGAAAACAACAGUGAUUCCCUCAGUAACUGCGAGUGAAGUGGGAAAAGCCCAGCGUUGAAUCGCUUACUCCUCACUUUAAACUGGGGUGCGAGUAAAUCGCGAGCGAUAUGUAACGUAAGGACGCACUGCACCAGGCCCUGUCGUGUUAUCAAAGUAUUCCUGGAAAGGUGCGCCAUAGAGGGUGACAGCCCCGUGUGUGAUAACAUGAGUGUCGGGUAAGACGGAGCCUGCUUGCGUUGUAAUUCUCUCAAGUGUGGCUGUGUGUUCCAUGAGUCGGGUUGUUUGGGAUUGCAGCCCUAAGGGGGUGGUAAACUCCACCCAAGGCUAAAUACUAGCACAAGACCGAUAGCGAACAAGUACCGUGAGGGAAAGUUGAAAAGUAUUCCGAAAGGAAGGUCAAAAGUACGUGAAACCGUUAAAGGGGAAGCGGAUGGAUGGGUCGAAGGCAAAAUUAGAUUCUUCUCAGUUCCGCAUCAUGUAACAUGUCCUAAAAUGUGGUGUGUCAUACUGAGUUACGUCAUGCUAAUCUGCCGAAACAGUCGUUGUGGAUACGGCCGAGGCAGGAUGGGUAAUUAAUUGCAGUUGUCCACUAUUUAGCGUUGAUCAAUCAAGGUGUUAGUAUGUGGUCACUGAUUGUGAUUAAUUACUACCUGUUAGUGUUACGCGCCUGUGUCAUUUUUAUCGCAUCAUGUGUGUGGUCAGAGUGGCACAGUGUGUGCUUUUGCUUUGGCAAAGGCUCACUGUGAACCGCACUUGUGACUCGGUGUAUAAAAAUUCGUCCAUGAUGACUGAGAAUUAGCGUUGUUGAAACGGUGCCAUGUGUCCCUACACAAUGUGUAGUGGACUUGGUGUGCACGAAGUGUGGCAUGUCCGUACAGCUACUAGCUGAGUUUGUUGUGUGUAGCAUUUUUUGUCUUAAAAACACAAGAGGUGCUGGCACGCAUCUUGUUUAGUUAGGACUGCAGUGUGUCAUCAUAUUGUCUAGGUGUUAAAUCUUGGCCAAUAUGUAAUGACUGCAGUCAGUCAAUGAAGCUCAUACUGUGCGGGGUAGUUUUAUCGAUGUAUAUACAACAGGUGUUUGCUUAAGUGUACGCCUCUGUAGUGUGUGUGUUUUUAGUCUACUUCAGUAGUGGGUGAGACCCCGUUAAAUUUUACCUAUGGAUGGGACGGAACGGUGUUAUUUAGUUAACAGCGCUCUGGCGAUCAUUCAUUGACAGUUGUACGAUAUUGAUGCGCGCGUAUCACCGUGGCUAGGCAUGCACGUGCACGCUAAGUACAUCAUAUUUGUAUUAUAAACAUGGCUAAUUUUCGGCGAGACACCAAUCCAUCCGACCCGUCUUGAAACACGGACCAAGGAGCCUAACAUAUACGCGAGUCAAAGGGUGAGUGAAACCCAGAGUAUUAUGAUACCCCCACCGUUGGUAUUUUUAUGGGUGUGUGACAUGGUACCAAUGGUGUGUUGGUGAUGAGGCGUAAUGAAAGUGACUACCAGUCGUGGUAAUGGGAUGGGAUCCCGUGGUGUAUCUGAAUUGUCUCAGAUACAGACACAAUGCAGUGUGUUGUGAGGACGGGCGCACCAUCGGCCGGUCUGCGCGUAGGUGCGGAUUGAGCGAGAGCGUAUAUGCUAGAACCCGAAAGAUGGUGAACUAUUCCUGGGUAGGGCGAAGCCGGAGGAAACUCUGGUGGAGGCUCGCAGCGAUUCUGACGUGCAAAUCGAUCGUCAAACCUGGGUAUAGGGGCGAAAGACUAAUCGAACCAUCUAGUAGCUGGUUCCUUCCGAAAUAUCCCUCAGGAUCGCUGAGACUUGAAUUGUGUCAAUAUUUAUACGGUAGUUUCAUCGGGUAGAGCUAAUGAUUAGAGUUAUUUGGGAGGUAUCACUCCUGAAACUGUUAUCAAACUGCCAACCGGUGAGAUUUAUUCGGGUGAUUUCUUUAACGUUCCGGUUGAGUGCAUCACGUGAAUGUGAUCCCACUGCUCGAGACCCCGAGUACUGUGGUGUUGUCUGACGGUAGUGGCACCUGUUGGUAUCGGGUUAUCAGGUGUGAUGUGUAAUUUGUUGUUGAGUGUACUGACGUCUUAGCUCCUCACGGUGUUGGGAUGGCAGGACGCCCAGCCAGCAGGCCAUGUUAUGCUUGAUAUCAACGGCCUUCGGAAUAGCGUCAUUGUCGUCCGUGUGAUGUGUGAUAUCGGAUUGGCGUGAAUAAUGGGUAUAUAUCCAAUGUGCCUUUUUUUGCUCAUUCUUGUGGUGGGCCAGGAAAGUGCUUAUUGAAAUUUACAAGUUGGCGGUGCAUUAAAUAAAAUAAAUAUUUAUACGGUCGUACUGUCCAUAGGGACUUGUGAGUUUUCCGGUGUUGCCUGUUUUUUUUCACGCCAAGCAGUGAGUUCACUGCGCGUGAGGUGGGAUUUUAAUUUAAAGAGAGGUGAAUCAUCCCCGAAAUGGAUGGGUAUGAAAUGUGAAAUAAAAUUUUGUCCCUAUCCCUGCAUCAAAGAGUCGGUGUUAUGUGUUAACCACGCUCUCGUGUGAUUAUAUCAUCAGCGCACGCACUUUUAGACGUAGAUGCAGAAUUGAAUACCAGAGUCUCAAGUGGGCCGUUUCUGGUAAGCAGAACUGGCGAUGCGGGAUGAACCGAAAGCCGGGUUAAGGUGCCCAAGUGGACGUCCACGGACACCAUCAAAGGCGUCGAUCAGUAAAGAUAGCAGGACGGUGGCCAUGGAAGUCGGUAUCCGCUAAGGAGUGUGUCACAACUCACCUGCUGAAUCGGUCGGCCCUGAAAAUGGAUGGCGCUUAAGCGUUCCACCGAUACCCGGCCGUCGAUGAACGAAAUGAUUUAACUAUCGACGGGUAGGAAGGCGCGACGGUUUUUGUGUCAAUUGUGUUUUUUAUUCCACCGCUCUUAAGAGAGAUGUAAGAAAUUAUUAAAUUAACAAUAUGUCCUAAAAUCAGUGAUGCGGAGAAGGAUUGAGACGUAAGUCUAUCCGGAGCAGCCGUCGGUGCAGAUCUUGGUGGUAGUAGCAACUAUUCGAAUGAGAACUUUGAAGGCCGAGGUGGAGACGGGUUCCACGUGAACAGCAUUUGGACGUGGGUCAGUCGGUCCUAACAGCAUGUUUCAGGCAAAGAGAAGAGGACCUUUAACGCAAGUCCGCUUCUAAGGCUGCGAAAGGGAAUCCGGUUAAUAUUCCGGAACCAAGUGGCGUGUGCAUAUACACACUUGUUGCUGUGUAUGCACGUAUUCGGAGAUGGCCGUGGGUGUGAGCGAAAAAUCACGUGCGUGUGUGUGUAAAAAUGCAUGCGCACGCGCUCUGGUCGUUCAUAUUUAUCUACAGGUCUUGGCGGUAACGCAAGCAAACCCGGAGACACCCUUCGUGGUCCUGGAAAGAGUUAUCUUUUCUUGUUAACACACCUAGUGAUACGCCCUGGAAAAGAGUCAGUCUGAGAUAGGGCUAUGGGUGUGGAAGAGCAUCGCAGUUUCGGCGGUGUCCGGUGUACCACGGUGUUGAGGGUCCUUGAAAAUCCGGGGGCGCGUAUUCACUAAACCUAAUGAGAGUGCAUUUCAGCACGUAUUUUGAAAUUCUCGGGUAUGUGUGUGCUCUCAUUCACGGUUAGUGUGUUCAUUUUCGCACUUGUCCGUACCGAAUCCGCAUCAGGUCUCCAAGGUGAACAGCCUCUGGCGUUGAAACAAUGUAGGUAAGGGAAGUCGGCAAAAUCGAUCCGUAACUUCGGGACAAGGAUUGGCUCUAGGGUUGAGUCACCCGGGCCAUGGCUAGUGUCUCUCGAUAUAUUUGGGCUUGCACAGAUUCUUAUGUGUAAUUGUUGUUGUUGUUAUUGUUAUUUUUCAAUAAUGACACACACCAAUCUCCGCAUAUUUGUCUCGUCUUUCCCUAAUCUGGAGAUCUACAUGGUUGGAGUGAGGGAGGUGAAUAAUGGUCUGUUUGCUUUUGCAUGCUCGCCCUUAUUUACUUUUUUCCCUCCCCUGGUGAGGUGGUGGGCGUGACAAACGCUCAUUAAAUUAAUAUUACACUCAUCAAGUUGCCCUUUAAGGAGGUGAUUGGGUGCUGUUACUACGUGCAGCAUGUAUAAAAAUGCCACCAGUUUUCAAUCAGGUGUCGGUGUUUAUGCUUUUUCUUAGCACCUUAUGGUGUUGAGAGAUUGAUUUUAAUAUGCUACUCUUGUCUGUCUGUGGCAUGAGGCAUUGGUUGCAGAGGAGACCAGGGCAGAGUGUGUUGAGAUGCAAAUUUCUUCCACUCCCUUUCUCUUACUCACAGUGCUUCUGCGUGCUGUGACGUGCAGUGUUCGGUGGGUGACAAAUGAACAACCAACUUAGAACUGUCACUGACUCGGGGAAUCCGACUGUUUAAUUAAAACAAAGCAUUGCGAUGGCUGGAAACGGUGUUGAUGCAAUGUGAUUUCUGCCCAGUGCUCUGAAUGUGAAAGUGCGGAAACGCAACAAAGCGCGGGUAAACGGCGGGAGUAACUAUGACUCUGGAAAAGUAGCCAAAUGCCUCGUCAUCUAAUUAGUGACGCGCAUGAAUGGAUCAACGAGAUUCCCACUGUCCCUACCUACCAUCAGCGAAACCACAGUCAAGGGAACGGGCUUGACUGAGACAGCGGGGAAAGAAGACCCUGUUGAGCUUGACUCUAGUUUGACUUUGUGAAAAGACAUCAGAGGUGUAGCAUAGGUGGGAGGUAGUCGCUUUUCUGUUGUUGGCCACACGGCCAGGUAAAACUGGCUGUGUCAUCAACGCAGAAUGACUGCCGAUCUUGAAAUACCACCACUUUGGUCGUUUUUUUACUGACUCGGUGAUAAGGAUCAACUCCACACAAUAAUGUUAGUGUCUGGUGACUCUGGUGCCAAUGUCAGUGUGUAAAAACGCUGGCUUUGCGCAUCAACACUUGGGCACUGUCAGAUGUUGUUAUUAAAAUCUCAGAUGCUAGCCAUGCCAGAGCCUGUAAAACGGUGCUGGUGUGUAAUGCUGGCAUCGGGGUGGAGAUUAUGGUUCGUUGUUUAGUGUUGAAAGCGUCAGUUGGAUGCGAAGAGAAAAAUUUGCGCAUCCACUGCGCUGACCUGUGAGUGAGUCGGUAAUGUGGUUUUGAAAGGCCAUGUUGUACCCGGCUCACUCCUCGACAGCGUAAUAACAGCUUUUUUCAGGUGUCUUGAUUGGCUGUUGAUGUAUGCAUAAUAUAUUAAUGGUUAAUUACGGUAUUGGUGAAAAGUGGGGUGUAAAAGCCUCAGUUGUUGCGAUGAUUUGCCGAGGACAGAGUCAGAUGGGGAGUUUGACUGGGGCGGUACAUCCUUUAUAACACAACGAGGAUGUCCUAAGGCGAGCUCACCGUGGACAGAAACCACGGGUAGAACAUAAGGGCAAAAGCUUGCUUGAUUCACGUUCUCAGUGUAUGAACGCGAACUGCGAAAGCAUGGCCUAACGAUCCUUUAUAAUAACACACCUGAGAGUUUCAGGUUAGAGGUGUCAGAAAAGUUACCACAGGGAUAACUGGCUUGUGGCGGCCAAGCGCACAUAGCGACGUCGCCGUUUGAUCCUUCGAUGUCGGCUCUUUGUAUCAUUGGAUCGCAGAAGGUCCAAAG